This 645-nucleotide long non-coding RNA is filed under the name Ictidomys tridecemlineatus (thirteen-lined ground squirrel). RNAcentral describes it as "lncRNA (ENSSTOG00000034528.1)". The record is from RNAcentral. Lineage: Eukaryota; Metazoa; Chordata; Mammalia; Rodentia; Sciuridae.
UGACUUCUACAAUGUUUUUAAAAUCCAAAUGAACAGUUUGUGUUUUCUAGUUUCAGGUUAUGCCUUCGACAUCUAUGGAAUAUUGGCCCUUCAGUGGGAAUAUGGAUCUUUCAUGGAUCUUCUUCUGGAUAUAUAGCUACUCAGAGAUGACAAGACCAGCAAAUUACUUAACAUUUCCUCCUUUGGUGUCCUGGGAUCAAAGACUGGAGUGGAUUGGAAUCAAAGUUGGUUGAAAUGGCUCUCAGCUUCUCUGCUCACCAUUAAAGUAGGAUUUGGAACAUUUAGAAGAUGUUCAUCAUUCUUGGUUUUGGAUCCCUCCAGAGGAGCUGGGUCACAGAAGACACUCUCCAAGAUGCUAUGGAUCUUCCACCAGCUGAUUCUGGUUUGUCAUCUCAGGAGCCUGUGACUGACUAACAGGAGGUGUCAUGUCAUGUCUGUUGGUUGUUUUUAUUGUAUGCAUGAGUUCAAGAUGAGCUCUGCUCUAGGCCUGUGAUUGCCAAGAAGCAUCCUGUACUUGCUCUCCUCUUCAGUGGUAGAGAAAUCACCUGGUAUAUGUGAGGCACUGAGUUCAAUUCUUAGCACCACAUAAAAAUAUAUAAAAUAACGGUAUUGUGUGCACCUAAACUAACUCUCUCUCUCUCUUUA